RNAcentral lists this ribosomal RNA (509 nucleotides) under Cyrtonus rotundatus. RNAcentral describes it as "partial 16S ribosomal RNA". The record is from RNAcentral. Lineage: Eukaryota; Metazoa; Arthropoda; Insecta; Coleoptera; Chrysomelidae.
UGUAAAAUUUCAAAGGUCGAACAGACCUAAUGUUUUAGCUUCUACACCAAAAAUUUAUUUUAAUCCAACAUCGAGGUCGCAAUCUUUUCUUUUAAUAUGAACUUUCUAAAAAAAUUACGCUGUUAUCCCUAAGGUAAUUUUAUCUUAUAAUCAAAAAUUUUGGAUCAUCUACUCAUAAAUUUAUGAUUUUAAGUAAAAAAAGUUAAUUAAAUUUUUCAAUCACCCCAACAAAAUUAUUCUAUAAAAAUAUAAAUUUAAUUCUUAAAUCAUAAUUUUAUAAAAUAAUUAAACUCUAUAGGGUCUUCUCGUCUUUUAAUUAUAAUUAAGCUUUUUAACUUAAAAAUAAAUUUCUAUAAAAAUUUAAUAGAGACAGCUAUUUUCUUAUUCAACCCUUCAUUCCAGUUUUCAAUUAAAAAACUAAUGAUUAUGCUACCUUAGCACGGUCAAUAUACCACGGCCAUUUAAAAUCUCAGUGGGCAGGUCAGACCUUAAAUUAUAAACAAAAGGAC